AACGAACGCUGGCGGCAUGCCUAACACAUGCAAGUCGAACGAGACCUUCGGGCCUAUUGGCGCUCGGCUGCGUAACGCCGGGGAACUUGCCCUUAGGUUCGGAAUAACUCCCCGAAAGGGGAGCUAAGACCGGUUAAUGUCUUCGGAGCAACGAUUUAUCGCCUUUGGCUGGGGGCGCGUUGGCUUAGCUAGUUGGUAGUGGAAAAGCCUAUCAAGGCGACGAUCCAUGGCUGGUCUGAUAGGAUGAUCCGCCACGCUGGGACUGAGGCCCGGCCCAGACUCCUACGGGGGGCAGCAGUAGGGAAUAUUAGACGAUGAGCGAAAGCCUGGUCCAGCAGUGCCGCGUGAGUGAUGAAGGCCUUAGGGUUGUAAAGCUCUUUUACCCGAGAUGAUAAUGACGGUACCGGGAGAAUAAGCUCCGGCUAACUCCGUG
RNAcentral lists this ribosomal RNA (433 nucleotides) under uncultured bacterium. RNAcentral describes it as "partial 16S ribosomal RNA". It matches the Rfam family "Bacterial small subunit ribosomal RNA", at positions 29 to 507 of the family's 1533-position model. The record is from RNAcentral.